This 440-nucleotide ribosomal RNA is filed under the name uncultured Anaerolineae bacterium. RNAcentral's name for it is "partial 16S ribosomal RNA". It matches the Rfam family "Bacterial small subunit ribosomal RNA", at positions 338 to 794 of the family's 1533-position model. Lineage: Bacteria; Bacillati; Chloroflexota; Anaerolineae. The record is from RNAcentral.
CCUACGGGAGGCAGCAGUGAGGAAUAUUGAGCAAUGGGCGCAAGCCUGACUCAGCAACGCCGCGUGGGCGAUGAAGGCCUUCGGGUUGUAAAGCCCUUUUCUGGGGGACGAGGAAGGACGGUACCCCAGGAAUAAGUCACGGCUAACUACGUGCCAGCAGCCGCGGUAACACGUAGGUGGCGAGCGUUAUCCGGAUUCACUGGGCGUAAAGCGCGUGCAGGCGGUUCCGUAAGUCGGACGUGAAAGCUCCUGGCUUAACUGGGAGAGGCCGUUCGAUACUGCGGGACUUGAGGUCGGGAGAGGGACGUGGAAUUCCCGGUGUAGUGGUGGAAUGCGUAGAGAUCGGGAGGAACACCAGUGGCGAAGGCGGCGUCCUGGCCCGCACCUGACGCUAAGACGCGAAAGCGUGGGGAGCAAACAGGCUUAGAUACCCCUGUAGU